CAUCUUGGGUUCCUUUGCACGUACAUAGAAUAAAGUGCAGCUAGCAAGGCAGAAGACAGGAAGUUACAGAAGAAAAAGAUUGCUCAGAAAAGCAGAAAGGAUGUAGUACGUUAAGCUGGAGGUUUUUAAGAGACUGUAUCCAUCCAGGAUCGAAAGGAAGAUGGGAAUGUAAUUCAGCAGUUAUAUUUGGAGCAGCUGUUGUUCAGCUGUUGGACAGAGGCACUGGAAAAAAGGUAAGAAAAAAUUGCUCUUUUCAUGGGAAAGCAUGUUUUCAAUUAGAUGUUUUUUUCUUUCUCUAGCUUGAUGAAGCAAAGAUUCGCAUCGAUUUUACAUUGUUAACAGUUGGACAGAUAAAAC
This 357-nucleotide long non-coding RNA is filed under the name Anser brachyrhynchus (Pink-footed goose). Its description in RNAcentral is "lncRNA (ENSABRG00000019839.1)". The record is from RNAcentral. Lineage: Eukaryota; Metazoa; Chordata; Aves; Anseriformes; Anatidae.